Molecule: long non-coding RNA, 224 nt
Organism: Priapulus caudatus
Lineage: Eukaryota; Metazoa; Priapulida; Priapulimorpha; Priapulimorphida; Priapulidae
Exons: 2
Source: RefSeq, a predicted model, not a curated record
AAUCUUGGCUUGACUGUGAUGUCGGAUAUGGAGGUGGAUGCGCGGCCUUGCGUGAGCAGGGAGAGGCGAUGGAGAUACUACAUGAGAACAGGUUCGCGUGGCCCUGGCAGUGCCGGUGGUAUUCAACCGAUGCCAAUGGCUGCUCCCGGACCGGAAGUCGUAACCAUGGAAGUGGAUUAUGAUAAUGAUGGGGGUCCUGAGGAGAGCUCCACCACUGCUGCUGA